AAGUCGUAACAAGGUUUCCGUAGCUGCGGAAGGAUCAUUAACACGUAUCCAACGUUAAACCCCCCCGUGAACCUUCAGUGCGCUCGCACUUUCUUAGAAAAGGUAGCAAUCCCUGGUAAAUCAUUGCCGAACAGUUUUGAUUCAGGGACUUCUGUACGAAUGGCGCAGUCACGAUCGCUCGGCGACCGGGUCACUGGGCGCGAGCCCCCCUCGUCACCUUUGCAUGAAAACGGGCCUGCGAAUUGUGCGGCCACCAAACUCGAACAACUGUUAACAAGGGAUAUCUUGGUUCUC
This 294-nucleotide unclassified non-coding RNA is filed under the name fungal sp. RNAcentral describes it as "partial internal transcribed spacer region". The record is from RNAcentral. Lineage: Eukaryota; Fungi.